UCCCUUGUGGUCCAAUGGUUAGGAUUCCGCGUUUUCACCGCGGCGGUCGGGGUUCAAUUCCCCGCAAGGGAG
This is a transfer RNA of Intoshia linei, 72 nucleotides long. It matches the Rfam family "tRNA". From Rfam's summary of the family: Transfer RNA (tRNA) molecules are approximately 80 nucleotides in length. Their secondary structure includes four short double-helical elements and three loops (D, anti-codon, and T loops). Further hydrogen bonds mediate the characteristic L-shaped molecular structure. tRNAs have two regions of fundamental functional importance: the anti-codon, which is responsible for specific mRNA codon recognition, and the 3' end, to which the tRNAs corresponding amino acid is attached (by aminoacyl-tRNA synthetases). tRNAs cope with the degeneracy of the genetic code in two manners: having more than one tRNA (with a specific anti-codon) for a particular amino acid; and 'wobble' base-pairing, i.e. permitting non-standard base-pairing at the 3rd anti-codon position. NCBI's taxonomy places the organism in Eukaryota, Metazoa, Orthonectida, Rhopaluridae. The record is from Rfam.